RNAcentral lists this long non-coding RNA (365 nucleotides) under Cyanistes caeruleus (blue tit). RNAcentral describes it as "lncRNA (ENSCCEG00000019478.1)". The record is from RNAcentral. Lineage: Eukaryota; Metazoa; Chordata; Aves; Passeriformes; Paridae.
UUAUCUUUUGUAUCAGCAGUAGUGUGGCCAGCAGGACCAGGGCAGGGAUUGUCCCCCUGUACUCAGAACUACUGAGGCCACACCUCAAAUCCUGUGUUCAGUUCUGGGCCCCUCACUACAAGAAGGACACUGAAGUGCUGGAGAAGAGCAGUGAAGCUGGGGAAGGGUCUGGAGGUCUAAAGGAAAAUCAGUUUCAUUUUGAUUAAAUUCAGGUGAUGGUCCAAAUUCCCUGCUGGCCUGAGGCAUUCCAGUUUCAUCAGCUUCAAGGAACUUGUGUGCCCAUCCAUCAUGCCUUCCUGAAGAAGCUGUUCAUCUCUUCUCAGGUCCCAGAUGUGCACCCAUAUCUAUGUCUUUGUUGCCUGUGA